Molecule: non-coding RNA, 13052 nt
Organism: Xyrichtys novacula (pearly razorfish)
Lineage: Eukaryota; Metazoa; Chordata; Actinopteri; Labriformes; Labridae
Source: the annotation of a GenBank genome assembly
UUUACGGAUUAGUCCUUCCCACAGGGCGGAGGGGCCUGUUUCACAAUGUGCUUUCACUCAGCCCAUAUCUAGAGUUGCGUGAGAGAUUUCCAUAUCUCACACACUCUUGUAAAUCACAAUUGAACAGUAGUAACUCAGAGAACGAACUCCAAACAUGUCUGCUUUCAAUUUGGGCCCUGAGGUCCUGCCAAGGCUGGGACAGGCUGAGAGACCACCCCUCAGCCCAGAUUUACUGGCCUCAUCACCCCUUAGGACUGCAGGGAACGCCUGCCGUGCUCCCGUCACUCCAGGACACACACCUCACACCUCUGCAGCUGGCGGGGGGGUUGUGUGUCAGGAGGAGUGUUUUUUUUCAAAGAUUUGAAGCCCGUAAAAACACACGCAUUAAUUGCGUGCAAGCAGGAGAAGAAACAGCUUUAAAAACUUGACAAAAUAAAGUGAAAGGAUGCAGUUUUCAUUUGCUUUAUUUCACAUCUCUGGCAAACAUUGUAGAUGUUUUGAAUUUCCUGUUGAACAUUAUUUAAGGCUGGAAGAAAUGCUGGGCUUCAUAUUGAGAAUGCUGUGCUGUGUAUUGUGAAGCUUUUGUCAAAACAGGAUUUCUUCAGUGCACUUCGCUUGCACUUGAGUAUUGGCUCACUCCAACUAUUAAAAUUUCCCAAUGUGUACAAGACAGAGAGUUAUAUUCCCUGUCUUCAGCCUCCUCCUGGCCUUACUCAGCAAUUUGACACACAAGUUCACAUUUUGAAGAUUCAAUACUCCCCAGUUCACAAACUGUCUAAUUCUGUAACGUGGAAUGCAUGUGAGUCAGUUUUGGAGCUCAUCUGAGUGGUCUCUGCAGUGUCUUCUGCGUGGUCACACCACUCGUCUGUACUGAAGACCAAUGUAGCUCUGGGGCCACAGUGAAGAAGAUGCCAGUGAUUGUGCAAAACUUGUUGAGGUCAAAGAAAGCAGCUGUAGCCCAGCUUACUGUGGUGUUUGCAGACUUAUAAUUCAGAUAACUUUGGCUGACAUACCCCUGUAGGAGGUCUUGGACCUCUGAUCUGCAGUGGUACAGUGUUUUGUUAGGAUCCCUCUAAAGGGCUGUGUACAAGUUUGGACGUAAAGGAAAAAUCUACAGGAUGAUGUCGCAAACAAGGCCUAAGGUGAGCAUUAAAUGGAAAGUUUGGUGUUUUUGAAGUGGGGUUGUAUGACUUACAUGUCACUAAUGUAGUGGCCACAGUGGACACUGGUCAGUUCAGCUCCUUUUAUAAGAAACUGCCUGGAGAGCUGGCACGCAAACUGAGCCUCAGUCUUCUACAGACCUACCGGCAAUUUCCACCGCAUCCGGAACAGAUACGAAAAGGCCGUAUCCACAGAUAGAAGCUGAUAGAACAGAUAGAAGCUGAUCGUAACCAUUCAAGUUAAUGCUUCUUUCCGUUCCGCUGCGAAUCACCAGACUCCGCAGCUCAUCGCCAGAGUAUGCCGGAUAAAUUCAGCACAGAUUAACCUGUGCUGGAAAGGAAGUUGGGCACAGACACAAAAUAAAACAUCUGUCUUCUUUUCAAAAUAAAACACUUUGUGUUUCAGGCAGAUCGUAUUUCACACCAUGCAAACGUGCGGAGAUGAACAAGUGAAAGGUUUAUAGACAGCAUUUCACCCCGAUGACACCAUGGAUGAGGACAUGUUAAUUGUUAAGUCUAGAAGAAGAUUUCCUCCUCUGGAAGGACACAGUCUACUGCUUAUAUGGUUAGCCUACGUGGUUAAUUAAUUUCAUGAUUGCACAUGAAUCCGCAGGUUCUUGUGAGUUCUCACGAUUCCUGCUGUCCGUAAUCCACUACUAAAUUCACCUCACAAACGGACCCGGUAGGAAUUGGCGCACAGCGAAAAUCACUGCCGUUCCGGAUCGGAGCCGCUCCGGAUGCGGUGGAAAUCACGAGUGUUCAGCUGCUCUCAGGAGCAAAACUGACAGGCAUCUGUUGUGGCUAGCUGACACAUAAGUGACAUACACUCACCGGCCACUUUAUUAGGUACACCUGUCCAACUGCUCGUUAACACUUAAUUUCUAAUCAGCCAAUCACAUGGCGGCAACUUAGUGCAUUUAGGCAUGUAGACAUGGUCAAGACAAUCUCCUGCAGUUCAAACCGAGCAUCAGUAUGGGGAAGAAAGGUGAUUUGAGUGACUUUGAACGUGGCAUGGUUGUUGGUGCCAGAAGGGCUGGUCUGAGUAUUUCAGAAACUGCUGAUCUACUGGGAUUUUCACGCACAACCAUCUCUAGGGUUUACAGAGAAUGGUCCGAAAAAGAAAAAAUAUCCAGUGAGCGGCAGUUCUGUGGGCGGAAAUGCCUUGUUGAUGCCAGAGGUCAGAGGAGAAUGGCCAGACUGGUUCGAGCUGAUAGAAAGGCAACAGUGACUCAAAUAACCACCCGUUACAACCAAGGUAGGCAGAAGAGCAUCUCUGAACGCACAGUACGUCGAACUUUGAGGCAGAUGGGCUACAGCAGCAGAAGACCACGCCGGGUGCCACUCCUUUCAGCUAAGAACAGGAAACUGAGGCUACAAUUUGCACAAGCUCAUCGAAAUUGGACAAUAGAAGAUCGGAAAAACGUUGCCUGGUCUGAUGAGUCUCGAUUUCUGCUGCGACAUUCGGAUGGUAGGGUCAGAAUUUGGCGUCAACAACAUGAAAGCAUGGAUCCAUCCUGCCUUGUAUCAACGGUUCAGGCUGGUGGUGGUGGUGUCAUGGUGUGGGGAAUAUUUUCUUGGCACUCUUUGGGCCCCUUGGUACCAAUUGAGCAUCGUUGCAACGCCACAGCCUACCUGAGUAUUGUUGCUGACCAUGUCCAUCCCUUUAUGACCACAAUGUACCCAACUUCUGAUGGCUACUUUCAGCAGGAUAAUGCGCCAUGUCAUAAAGCUGGAAUCAUCUCAGACUGGUUUCUUGAACAUGACAAUGAGUUCACUGUACUCAAAUGGCCUCCACAGUCACCAGAUCUCAAUCCAAUAGAGCAUCUUUGGGAUGUGGUGGAACAGGAGAUUCGCAUCAUGGAUGUGCAGCCGACAAAUCUGCGGCAACUGUAUGAUGCCAUCAUGUCAAUAUGGACCAAGCUCUCUGAGGAAUGCUUCCAGCACCUUGUUGAAUCUAUGCCACGAAGAAUUGAGGCAGUUCUGAAGGCAAAAGGGGGUCCAACCCGUUACUAGCAUGGUGUACCUAAUAAAGUGGCCGGUGAAUGUAUAACUCAUACAACCCAACUUCCAAAAUUCGAGACUCAGCAGUUCAAGGGGAACAAGUAAACAGCAUGAGAAGCUUUUUAUUUUGCAGAAACACAAGAUCAGUUACAUGACACGUUGAAGUUCAAUAAAGCUUUGGAAGAUUUUAUGUAAACAAUAGUAGAUGGGUGAAAUUCUGUCCAAAGACCUGUCCUGGGGGACAUAUGUUGAUUUGUUGACCUCCUGGGACUCGAAUUUUGCAUCGUGGCUGUCAUUACAUGAGAGACCAGUAGUGGCCAUGUUCGGACUUAAAGCUGUUUUCACACAUGCAUUGAGAAAAAAUCCAGAAAAUACCAGGAGUUCUGACCCUAAAUUGGACCUGACUUUGCUGUUCCAAAACUGUGUCUCUGUAUAAGGCUGUAAACCAGAGUAGUUUUGCUGUCAAGUUGGAUAUUUGAUUAUGGGGUACGAAGGGGAAUGACCUGAUUUGAAUUCAGACUCAAGUGGCCAUUUAUGUGCCCUUGACAUUUGGUUCAUUGUUCAGCCCAGACGUUUCUGUUUGAUGCAGAUCUGACUGAAAUGAAGACUGCCAGGCAUACUUGUUUUAUGCCUUCAUGUGCUUAUGAAAAGUGAUUCAAUUUCCAUUUCCAUAAAAAGGAACAAAAGUUUCCUCAUUUAUUUCCUUUUUUUCUUUUUAUAUUUGUCCUUGAAAAUAUCUCCAUCCUUUUUAUUUCACCCUGUUUAUUUUACACAAACUCUUGUUUCCUAGUCUUCCAAACUCUGGCAGGAUAUCAUAGAUAAAUAAAAAGCUGUGUACUGAUUGCAUGCCCAGAAGGACCUCACAGGAAUAAUUUGUCAUUGAUAUGAUUUGAGUCAUUGGCUGUUUACACUGCAAAUUCCAAGGCAAUGAAAGAUAUCACAAAGGUAUCACAAUAUUUAAUUUCACUUUCUCAGUUGCUCAGUAGUAAGACCAUGGUUUGCCAGACAAGUCUAGGGUAGCUCCAAAACCACAACAAUUGUGGACAAGAAAAAAGGGAGGCUGGUAGAACAAACAUAGUCCUGUGGUCAGAGGGAACCACACACUGAGGCCAUGUGGGACGUGAGGAGAGCUUGUUAAAGCACCCAGAAUAAUGCAUGUGGGAUUAUGGACACCACUGUGUUUACUGAUCCACAGACAACCUGUAACAGCUAACAGACAUGGCUUACUCAUGAAGAUUCUUCACAAUAAUGUUCACACAUUUCUCAGUUUAUGCCCCUCUGAAACUAAUAACUGACAACUCGCUAUUCGACUGUUACAUAAAGAGCAGCAGUGGUUAAAAAAAUCAUGCUCUGUCUGACUGAUUAUUUAGGGAUGAGAGUCUUGCAUGAAAAUGUAUGACAGAAUUUCUGAGAACCUGAAUAAUCAGCUUACAUUGGAGCUAAGUAGGAACAGAGGGUGGUGGACUGGUGUUUGCUUUCCAUUUUCAGCCCUGGCACAGAUUCAGGCCACCUUGAAGAAUCUGAAAACCAUUAUCCAGGACUGUUGGUCAAAAGUGCAGACUGUAUAGGAUAUCACGAUGCUGUGCCUCACAGUGAGACGAAGUGAGAAGGAUGAAGAUGGAGGAGGAGAAAGGAGAAUGGGGAAGGGAGGUAUCAUGGAUGAGAUAUCGUGCGAAAGCGAGAGGAAUUGAGACUAACAGAAGUUCAACAUGCCUUCCUGCGUAGACAUCUCAAUUACAUCCAGCUCCCCUUGUCAUUCAUGUGGAUGUGUUUGGUUUCACAGAAACAAAGGCAUCCUCACAAAGUGAUGUAAUUCAGAGCGGCCGUAUGUCCAUCUGAAGUUACCUUCAUGGUUGUCUGACACAUCACCUCUUGCAUGCAACAGCAGAUUAGGUAUAGACAGGCCUGUAGACAGACCUUUCCCCUCUAUUGUCUCUUCCACACGCAGGGGAUGAACAUGCAUAAAGAAGGGUCACGCACAUGAAGACAACAUCAAUCCCUCUCUCUGAUGGUUCUGAGCAAGCUGCUGACUGAUAUGUCUUUAAAGGAGCCUGUAAUGAGGAUAGGCAUGUGUAAAUGUAGGCCUUUGAGUGUGACCUGAUAUGUGGCUCUUAAAUGUGGGCUGUAGCUGGUUUUGUCCUCAUAAAUAAGUGGCUGUGUCCGGGUAACAGGCCAGGCCGUGCCAUUGCAACUCGAUCAUUUAGGUAAUCUGUUUGCUGUAGAGCUUUUAGCUGUUUUUAGUAUUUUUAGACAGUGGUAGCUCAACAAAUGUUGUGUGUUUAUUUAACUGUGCCCAAUAAGAGAAGAUAAAAGAACUUUAUCAAUCCCCAAAGAGAAAUUCAAUACUGUACCUGUUGCCAAGGAUGACUACAAAACAAAACUGGAGUAAGCUGAAGGAAUGACUCACGUCAAAGUAUAUAAACUCGAUGCUCAUACAUACUUUAAUUUGUCCUGCUCUGUGUCUGCAUCCAUUUAGCUUCAAUCACUUACAGAGGCUGUCAGUCUCAAUCAGGCACACAGUGAAAGUUAAUUAUUACUAAACACUCGAACAUCAAAGACGGGAAUAAACUUAUCUGACAUACAUGAAACUGAAAAAAUCAUAUUAUUCACUGAAUACAUAAAAAUACAGCCCCCACCCCCAAGAAUGAUAUCAUAUAAGAAUAUCACAUAUGUAAAGUUUUUACCUGUUUUAUACUCAUUUUUCAGAUUUAUUAUGCUCUGAACAGUUUUGAGCACAUGCUCUUUGUACGACAUAAUUAGUGAAUGACCACCAAGCCUUUGUCUAUAAACUAGAAAAGCUCAAUCAGUAGGACAAAAUAGCUGUAAAUAUUGUGUUUUUGUGAUGGAUGAUUUCAGCAACAGUAGGAGGAUUGUCCAAAACCGGUUCAAAAACUUGUGAGAGUUUUUCAAAGUGGGCUGAGGCUGGUGUCAGUGCAUCAGGGGGCCAUCACACUCAGAGGUCCUCAGGAAAGGAGCUACAAAUAUCACAUUCCUAAUAUCAAUGUCAAGUCUCUCCUGGCAGCGUCAAGAGCAGGGGUUCCUAGGCUAAAGAGAGGGAAAACUGGACUGUUGCUCAGUGGUCCAAAGUCCUUUCUCCAGACGGAGACAAGUUUGUCAUGUUUACUUGGAUACUGAGGUCAUCGAGUCUGGAAACAGAAAAGUGGGGAGGCACAGAAUCCAAAGUGUUUGAAGUUUUCUGUGAAUUUCCACAGAUUUGGAUGAUUUGAGGUGUUCUAUCAUCUGCUGGUGUUAGUUUACUGUGUUUUAUCAUGUUUGAAGUCAACGUAGCCGUCUACCGGGAAAUUUUAGAGCACUUCAUAUUUAACAAGUGAUGAUUCCCUCCAUCCCAAAAAAGGCAAGUGCAGAGCAGUCUCCCCUAUGUUUUCAUUCUUUUUUUCAUAGUUUGACCACCUGCAACUUGCAUAUGUCAUGUUAGUGCCAGUUAAGACAUAAAGUAGACUGAUUUCCUCCAUGCCACACCACACUGAUGCGGUCAUUAAUGGUUAAGGAGCCUUAACCAAGCAUUGAGUGUGUAAAUUAAUUCAGAAAUUGGAUAUUUCAGUGUUUUAAAUCCUUUAUCUGGUUGAUCUUGUUAAAUAUUGUAACGAUUUGAGAUACUUCAUUUCUGAUUUUCUCAAGUUAUAUUCCAUAAUCAUUAAAAUAACAACAAACAAGGAUUGAAUUAUUACAUUGUGCAUGUAAAGAUCACAUAGAAUAUAUUAUUUUUGAUUAAAUUAGCAUAAUAAUUAAGUUUUCCUGAUAUAUAUAUAUAUUUUUUUUGGGGGGGUGCACCUGUAAUUAGUGUAACAGACCAUAUAUUUCCAUUUAUUCCUUUUCUCUCUGUAGCAGCUCCAGUGAUGGAUUAUAAAUGAAUGUUUCCAAUUUCAGUCAUUUGUUCUCUGUGUAGUCUCUGAUCUGACAUUGUCCAGAGAUUCUCAGAGAAUGGUAAAAGUAUCUAAUUUUGACUUUAAGAGGUAAAUUAUCCCUCAUUAAUGAGAAAACAAUAUCUUUUCAAAUAUUGGAUCAUUAAAUGAGCUCAUUCCAAAGUAAUCAUCCUUUAACAGCGAUCGUGACAGAUCCUCAGCAGUCUACCUCUGCCUCUCACGCUAACACAUUGAUGUCAUUUAAAGUCUCCUUUCCUAAAGGAUAGUUUUUUGUAGACACCUUAGGAGCAACAUACAUUAGUGAGAACAAACGAGGGCAAAAUGUAAGAAAAUAAGACUUUAUUUAACACAGAGGUUCGGUCCCAUAAAUGAGGAAUUUCACUUCAUAUUUAACAAGUGAUGAUUCCCUCCAUCCCAAAAAAGGCAAGUGCAGAGCAGUCUCCCCUAUGUUUUCAUUCUUUUUUUCAUAGUUUGACCACCUGCAACUUGCAUAUGUCAUGUUAGUGCCAGUUAAGACAUAAAGUAAAUGAAAACCAGACCUGUGCUUUGGGGUCUAGUGAGUCUAGUAAGGGGGACAUUAAAGCCUUGAGUUUCCUCCAGGGGAAAUGUGUUUGCCUGUUUUCCCUUUACUGCUCAGUGCUUGCAUGCUAAGCUGUAAUUUUCAGGCUCUGGUGUGUGUGUCUGUGUUUUUGUGUGUGUUAGAGGCCAGUGGUGGCGAGCUCUGAGUAGAAGAGACGUUUGUGCAUGUGUAUCUAUUAUGUGUGUGUGUGCGUGUUUGUGUGUCUGCUUUUAUCUGGAUGUCAUCAUAACCACAGAAAUCAGGGCCUGAUACUAUCUACCCCUACCCCCUUCUUCUAUCCCCAUCCAGAGUCACGAGAGCCGAGGGUCUCCUUUGGCCACACACACUUGACACACACAAACACACACAGACAGAUGCUGACACUGACACAUAGACACUGCAUCAUACUUCCACAUUUUGUAGGUAAACAUCUCCAGAUUGGUGAAGCAGGAUGGAAUUCCCGCCUUUUGUGGGAAAUGUGCCCAGAACCAUUUGUAAACCCUCUUCUCUGCCGCUUCCUAACUCCUUACAGAUUGUAAAACUCUGAUUUCUAUAGUAGGGUAACUGCAAUGGAGUUCUCAACCCUUCUUAAUGUGGGACAGAAAAGAACCAAUGCAAUCUUGCAUUUAUCAUAAUAUGUUUACCUUUCAUGUGCUGGAACUCCAUGUUAGUCCCAUCUAUUCAUUUGCUGUGUAUUUUACAAACAUACACACGAGGCUAUAGCCUGUUGCCUCUGUGUAAAUAUGUGGUUUGCAGACUUCAGCAUAACCCAGACAGUUUACAUGUAGACAACACUAUGAAUGUUAUAGAUUUACUGUAUUGUCUUGUAUGUUAUGCAUUAAAGCCUUGAGUUUCCUCCAGGGGAAAUGUGUUUGCCUGUUUUCCCUUUACAAGCUUAAAAGCCUACAAUCACAUGAAGCGUUGGCAGUCAUCCAGCUCUUACUUUAGUCAUGGCUCAACCUGAGCCACAUGCCUCAUCUCAAUCAGUAAUAGAUCCUGAUAUGUGCAAUAACAUAAGUUUUAUCAUACUUAGCAUAGAUCUCAUGCUUUAAAAUAUAAAUUGUUGUGGCAAUCCAGUUUGAGUUCAUUAAAAUGUCUGCAUGCAGAGCGUCAACCGCAGGCCCUGGUAUCUUAAACACCCGCCUCAGCUUAAAUCCAGCACAUGACCUCAACCUGUCUUCAACCAGUCUUGCCCUCACUUCAACUAUUCUCCAAGCUUUUCCAGUUAUUUAGCUUCAUCACAGGUUCAGCAGCUUCAAAUGAAACCACAGAGAAGGAAAAAUACUGAGGUUUUUCUUUUUUCAUUUAUCUUUCUUCAUUUAUUCUCAUCCAAAUGUUGUUAACAACGCCAUCAUCUGCACAUGGGGGCACAACUGUUGUCCUGAUGUGAGUUUGAUGAUGCCUCUUGUUUAAUGCCUCUGUUAACGAUGAUCUGGGAGGAUUUCUGUGACUGUGAGUUAACAUUUGCCUCAUUUGCAGCUGUGGCCAGAGUGUUAACAGGUAUGUGUGUCAUCUAUGUGGCAGCGUCUCAUCAAGUUUGGGAAAUGAAAUAUCAAAAGCGGUUUAUCUGUCUCCGGGGAUGUCGUGCAACAGGGUGAGACACAACUUACACAGGAACACUGAUGCGCCAACAAGCAGACAGGCACACGCACGCACACACACACACACACACACACACACACACACACACACACACAAACACACACACACGCAGGGAUACUUGCUGUCUCAAACGUAAACAAAGCUAGAGUAGAUAAAUGGUCUUCAAUCCACACUAUGAUAAAGACAUUUUCCUCCCACUCAAAUGCCUUCUGUCUUUCCUAGAACUGUAAUUUGUUGCCCUUUAACACUGAGGGCACUCAGAGACACGAUAAGGUACAUCAAAGUGAUCUCUCAACAAGGACCCUGCUUCUAUGCAAUGGAAAGUUACUAUUUGUGACUGCCUGUGGAAAAUCUCCCAUGCCUCCCCAGUAGGAGACCACAAGUCUCAGCUCACAAUAUGGGCGACUCACUAAUAGAGGAAUAAACAAAGUAGAUCCUAAUGGAUGAAUGUGAGGGCUUUUGUUUGAUCCAGGGGAUGCUCAUAGACUUGAGCCCGAGACAUGAGAGCCGAGAGUGGUGACAACAGGUCAGACACACCUCUGCUGUAUAUACAAAGAAGAUUCAGACACUGUAAUAUCCGUUGUAAAGCAAUGUAACCUCAUGCAACUGUGCAUACAACUUAAGCUCUUCCUCAAAAUCAAAACCAUGGGCUUUUUAUUACGUUCACCUCUCACCAUUGUUUGUUCGCCUUUAGCCCGAGCGACCAGAGAGGAGUUUGCAAUACGUGGGAUUCUGUGAAAUAUCAUUGAAUAAACAAACGAUUGCAUCAUGUGCUGCAAGACUAACACAGGUUAAACCAACUGUAAAGGCUAUACAAAUUGUUUGCAAAGCUUCAUUUCCUACAAGUGCAAGACACCAGAGUGUACGACACCAGAUUUUCCUGUAGUUGCUGCAUUUUCAGUCUUGUCUGGCAACUCUCCAAUGCCUGGUGUUUUCUCAAUAUCUAGUGAGUCACCGUAAGGGCAGCAAGCCCAAUAAAGCCAUGACAGCUGCAAACAAGAAACGGAUGGCAAGAGAUAGGAAAUCAAAAUACAAUGUUAAAUUUGCAUGAAGUGAAGAAGACGGUAAUCCCCAUUUAAAAGGCAUGCUGUGAGCCUUCAGGAAUAGGUUUGGUAUUUGAUCUAUAUUUACUGUAUGUGGAAGCUGAAGACACAUGCAAGGCUUUCAACGGGAGCAGAGUUAUGUGCAAGCAGAGGUUUUAUUACUCCACUUCUGACAAGCACUUUCACAGCUGUGGCUCCUCUGAGCUUGGCUUGUCAGUCAAGGGUGUAAAUCACUCUGCUUACUCUGACAGGUCAGCAGCAUGACAACAGAGGGUGAGUUUGUAGACAUGGACUCAAUCUGUGUAAACCAGCGUCCUGUCUGCCUAAAGGAUUUGUCUCUUGUUAAUGAAAGCAUCUUCUGUCAAACUGGUACCCUUUGUGGUCCUCUUGCUUUUUAUGAAUGUUAAGUCAAAACCGCCAGUCCCAUAGCCUCAGCCUAGGCAUUUCAAAUAUGUAAAAGCAUCUAAAUAUACCCUGUCUCCUGGUUUGAUUGUCUAAACCAAACUUACAGGGAUGAGUGCAGCAGAAGAGAGAUAGACACAAAGCAACUAAAGAGGGGAGAUUGUAGGAGAUACUAAGGGUAUUUUUCAGAGUCCUACUCCACCAGAAACCUGUUCAGUAACACAUGUUUUUACUUUCAUCUGCAAAAGAGAAUAAUAAAAACAGAGCAGCUUUGAGCUGUUAGCCCGCCAUCCUAUUCUCAGGGGAAAGUCACAUCAGCAAGCGUGGGUGGGAUAUGAUGCUCUGUGCUGCAGGGAAAGCUUACACUGGCUGGACUGCGUGACUUGUUUGCAGUAUUGAAACAACAAUAAACUUUUGCAAACUUUCCCUGCUCUCAAACAAGUAAUAGCAUGAGCUCUAUAAUUGUAUGGAGGAGAUUGCUCUGCAAUUCAAAAAGGAAUCUCAGCAACAGAAACCACAGAAAUGUCUGACUUUUAAUCGGCUACAUUUUUGAAUGAGUGACAGAAGUGGAGUCGUUAUUAAAGGAAUAGUUCAACAUUGUAAGAGACAUGCUUCGUUGCAGUAACUUUGCAGAGUCAUCUUGCUCUGGCUUCCAGCUGUGGAUUUCAGAAAUAUAGUAUAAAAUGAUGUCUUAUUUUUUGUACUAUUUAGAAAUAUUUAAUAACUCUUGUGCAGUUUAGAAAUUUGAAACCCUCAGAUGAAACCAGGGUAGUUUUUUUCCCCAAAUACAUUCUGUCUUCAUUCCACCUGAGAUUAGCUGCCUGCUGGCACUGGCUUUGUAUUUACUUUGCAGACAUGACAGGGAUUUUAGUGUUCCAUCUAAGUCUUGGCAAUAAUAGAAUAACAGUCCCACAAAAUGUCAAUGUAUUCCUUUCAGUUUAAGUUUUUCAUAAUGUUAUGCAGAAAGCAGACUUUGAUUGGAUGGGCCUUCUCUUUUUUUGAUGUUAGUUUGUUAGAUGUCCAGCCAAGAUCUCCUUUUUUUUUACUCCCUGCUAUUGUCGUUUGAUUGUUUUGUGCACUGUGCCCAAGCCUACCCAAAAUAUAAUGAUAAUUUUGACUGCACAGAGUUUUUCUAAAGGCUGUACAUUUUCAAUAUAUACAAAAUCGACAAAUAUCUCAUCACCCCCCAAUGUCCAACCCACAUACCCCACUCAAGGCAAAACCACACACAUACCACAAUAUCCUCGCGUGUAAGGCAGCAGGGGUGCGUGUGGAUUUGGCAGCAGUGGCUGUUUCAGCUCUUAGAAGUGGGAUUUCAUCUGUAAUAACAGCCCCACUUGAUGGAAGUUGUUGCAUAAAAUUGAGACACGCUCCUACAUACCUUUUAAAAAUGAAAACAGCUUAAAAAAAAUUGAAAGAGAAAAACAAACCGGCUAGUCACGCAUCUUGCACAAGUUGAGAAGUGAGAGCAGCUACGAUGACCUCAGGGUAGGUUGUACAAGGUUGGCAACUGCACCGGUUCUCAGGGUGUUUAACAGCAUCUGCAUGCACAGGCACACAUGAUUAAGCAGGUGUGUAUAUUAGAUCAUAAACUUAAAUAUACUAUGUAUAAAUUUCAAUGUGUGUGGCUGCAUACAUUUGUGCAUGUGUAAGUAAUGAUAUACAUGAGAGUUGGCUGCAUUACAGUGAAGGUUAGCACACUUUUGUGAGCACUUUUGUGGUGAAGCCAUUUGUGUUGAAUAUACAAGCCACCAGCCUGCUGAGAGAGAUACAUAAGCUUUUGCUGUCAGAUCCCUUGCUGGAGACUUUAAAAAGACUUGUUUCAUAUAGAGAACCUGCCAGGAUUAAGAUUACAUUAACUCCAUUAAGGUAGUUAAGUUAAGCAUCAAACAUUUUUUGGCAAUGAAAAGCUAAGUGGCUCAUAAAAUGCAGUAAGCCCAUCAAAGUCAAGGGGAUAAUGUCAACUUUCUAUUUUUUAUCAAAUUAAUCUUAAGAAUUAUCUAAAGGGUGAAAGGCCAUUUAGGGGCAUUUGUAAGACCUCACCUCACACUGCCUGAUCCUCGAAUAAUGUUUGUAGGUUUGCAUUGCAAGAUUAAGCAAGCUGAAGUUUAGUUUAGUAUGCCUUCUCCCUGAUUGUUGAGUUAAGUCUUUUUUGCAGCUAAGUUGAUGACUUGAUGAGAGUUAUGUUAAGAUUGGUGCACUCCUUUGCUCUUCAGUUAGUAUGCUAUCAGUCCACAACUGCUCGAUAAUGCACACUAUAGAGAUUAUUGGUCUGUUGAUGGAUCAGUCAGACUGUGUAUUUCAAGUUUGUGAUAAUGCCAUAUGUGCUGAAAAGGCCUGUGAGCCAAACCAGGCUGCUAUUGUGUGUACGUGGCUUUUGUCCCAGACCCACAGCUUUAUG